GAUGAAGAACGUAGCAAAAUGCGAUAAGUAGUGUGAAUUGCAGAAUUCAGUGAAUCAUCGAAUCUUUGAACGCACAUUGCGCCCCUUGGUAUCCCGAGGGGCAUGCCUGUUCGAGCGUCAUUUCACCACUCAAGCCUGGCUUGGUGUUGGGCGACGUCCCCUUUGGGGACGCGCCUCGAAACGCUCGGCGGCGUGGCACCGGCUUUAAGCGUAGCAGAAUCUUUCGCUUUGGAAGUCGGGGCCCCGUCUGCCGGAAGACCUACUCGCAAGGUUGACCUCGGAUCAGGCAGGGAUACCCGCUGAACUUAAGCAUAUCAAUAAGCGGAGGA
RNAcentral lists this unclassified non-coding RNA (329 nucleotides) under soil metagenome. RNAcentral's name for it is "partial contains 5.8S ribosomal RNA, internal transcribed spacer 2, and large subunit ribosomal RNA". The stretch from base 1 to 120 matches the Rfam family "5.8S ribosomal RNA", at positions 35 to 154 of the family's 154-position model. The record is from RNAcentral.